RNAcentral lists this ribosomal RNA (433 nucleotides) under uncultured bacterium. RNAcentral describes it as "partial 16S ribosomal RNA". It matches the Rfam family "Bacterial small subunit ribosomal RNA", at positions 29 to 507 of the family's 1533-position model. The record is from RNAcentral.
AACGAACGCUGGCGGCAUGCCUAACACAUGCAAGUCGAACGAGACCUUCGGGUCUAGUGGCGCACGGGUGCGUAACGCGUGGGAACCUGCCUUUAGGUUCGGAAUAACUCAGAGAAAUUUGAGCUAAUACCGGAUGAUGUCUUCGGACCAAAGAUUUAUCGCCUUUAGAUGGGCCCGCGUUGGAUUAGCUAGUUGGUGGGGUAAAGGCCUACCAAGGCGACGAUCCAUAGCUGGUCUGAGAGGAUGAUCAGCCACACUGGGAAUGAGACACGGCCCAGACUCCUACGGGAGGCAGCAGUGGGGAAUAUUGGACAAUGGGCGAAAGCCUGAUCCAGCAAUGCCGCGUGAGUGAUGAAGGCCUUAGGGUUGUAAAGCUCUUUUACCCGAGAUGAUAAUGACAGUAUCGGGAGAAUAAGCUCCGGCUAACUCCGUG